This 506-nucleotide long non-coding RNA is filed under the name Homo sapiens (human). RNAcentral's name for it is "HSALNT0081127". Lineage: Eukaryota; Metazoa; Chordata; Mammalia; Primates; Hominidae. The record is from RNAcentral.
ACCAUGCUGUAUGUUAGAUCCCCAGAACUUGUUCAUCUUAUAACUGAAAGUUUGUCGUUUUGACUAACAUGUCCACAUUUUCCCCACACUCCAGCCUCCGGCAACCACCCAUUCUACUCUCUGCUUCUGUGAAUUCAACUUUUGAAGAUUCCACAUACAAUUUCUGUGGGUUAGGAAUAAAGGAAAAGAUUUGUUGGAUGCCUCUGCCUUAAUGUCUCUUCAAGGCUGCAGUCAAGGUGUUGGCUGGGGCUGCUGUUUCAUCUGAAGACUCAACUGGGAAAGGAUCUGUUGUCAAGCUCAUUUGUAUGGUUAAUUGUAAAUUUGUGAAAUAGCACAAAGCCAAGUUGAAGACAAUAUCUUCCCUAAUAACAGUAGUGCAAUGACAGCCAGCCAGAAAAGUUCUCCACCUUGGCAGCAAUGAGACUAAGACUUUUAUGCCUGAAUUGCUAUCUUUUUUUUCCAGGAUUUGAAAUGCCAUGCCUGGCACAGUAUCUGGAACAGAAUAU